GGAGAAGUACCCAAGAGGCCGAAGGGGCUCCCCUGCUAAGGGAGUAGGACGGGAUACCGUCGCCCGGGUUCAAAUCCCGGCUUCUCCGCCA
RNAcentral lists this transfer RNA (91 nucleotides) under Candidatus Spyradocola merdavium. Its description in RNAcentral is "tRNA-Ser". It matches the Rfam family "tRNA". Rfam says of the family: Transfer RNA (tRNA) molecules are approximately 80 nucleotides in length. Their secondary structure includes four short double-helical elements and three loops (D, anti-codon, and T loops). Lineage: Bacteria; Bacillati; Bacillota; Clostridia; Christensenellales; Christensenellaceae. RNAcentral also lists the same sequence under 1 other name. The record is from RNAcentral.